UACUAAAAAAAAAACCUUCAUCAAAAGCUUCUGCGAAACCGAAUCGAACGAGAUCAAAUAGUGUUGGACGACCAAAAGAGGGCUACUUACUCCAUGAAAGCAAAUAAAGAGAGAGUUAGAAGAGAACCCUCAAAUAGACGCACCGCCGGGAGAGAGCCAACGGAGCCAGAUCCACUGUCCUCGAGUAGAUCUAGAUCCGAUAGAUGCCCAGAGAAAAGCACACCGUGAGCUUACACUUCACUCCGCCACA
RNAcentral lists this long non-coding RNA (250 nucleotides) under Brassica napus (rape). RNAcentral's name for it is "long non-coding RNA (BNAP_LNC002706)". The record is from RNAcentral. Lineage: Eukaryota; Viridiplantae; Streptophyta; Magnoliopsida; Brassicales; Brassicaceae.